Phodopus roborovskii (desert hamster) is the source of this 380-nucleotide long non-coding RNA. RefSeq lists it as uncharacterized. NCBI's taxonomy places the organism in Eukaryota, Metazoa, Chordata, Mammalia, Rodentia, Cricetidae. The record is from RefSeq and is a predicted model, not a curated record. The transcript is spliced from 3 exons.
UUUUCUUCGCCUUUCGAGUAGGGACCUGAGCCAGAGGGAAGGAACAACAAACAACAAGAGCGAUGAAAGUGAAUAAAGCUGAGCAGGAAUCGUCGACCCCCGGCAGCGCGAUGACAGGCAAAGGUGGAGGGGGCUGGCCGAGCGCGGCACUGGAAGGCUGCUGACUGGAAAAGAACUCCACGCGGCCAGGGAUGAAGCGCGCCCAGGUCCUCUGCGCUGCCAGCGCACGACUGCCCAGCUCGGCCACCCGGGGGGCGAUGAGCCAGGACGCGGCGGUGAAGCCCAGGACCAACCCCAGAGCCACGCUCACCCACGGGCGGCGGGAGCGCACGGCCAUCGCGGCAGCCCAGGGCUCGAACGCAGGCUGGGCGGUGUGGGAG